GCGGGCUGGACCUCUCGGGGUUACAGCCUUGCUGAAUUAUUCACCCUUGUCUUUUGCGUACUUCUUGUUUCCUUGGUGGGUUCGCCCACCACUAGGACAAACAUAAACCUUUUGUAAUUGCAAUCAGCGUCAGUAACAAAUUAAUAAUUACAACUUUCAACAACGGAUCUCUUGGUUCUGGCAUCGAUGAAGAACGCAGCGAAAUGCGAUAAGUAGUGUGAAUUGCAGAAUUCAGUGAAUCAUCGAAUCUUUGAACGCACAUUGCGCCCUUUGGUAUUCCAAAGGGCAUGCCUGUUCGAGCGUCAUUUGUACCCUCAAGCUUUGCUUGGUGUUGGGCGUCUUGUCUCUAGCUUUGCUGGAGACUCGCCUUAAAGUAAUUGGCAGCCGGCCUACUGGUUUCGGAGCGCAGCACAAGUCGCACUCUCUAUCAGCAAAGGUCUAGCAUCCAUUAAGCCUUUUUUUCAACUUUUGACCUCGGAUCAGGUAGGGAUACCCGCUGAACUUAAGCAUAUCAAUAAGCGGAGGAA
This 527-nucleotide ribosomal RNA is filed under the name Alternaria solani. Its description in RNAcentral is "eukaryotic LSU rRNA". The stretch from base 152 to 305 matches the Rfam family "5.8S ribosomal RNA". The record is from RNAcentral. Lineage: Eukaryota; Fungi; Ascomycota; Dothideomycetes; Pleosporales; Pleosporaceae.